AGCAGCCGCGGUAAUUCCAGCUCCAAUAGCGUAUAUUAAAGUUGUUGCAGUUAAAAAGCUCGUAGUUGAAUUUCGGGAUCAAUAUAUCGGUCGUGCCUUGGUACGUACUGGUAUCAUUGGUUUCUCCUUUCUGACGAACCAUGAUGUCAUUAAUUUGGUGUUAUGGGAAGUUAGGACUGUUACUUUGAAAAAAUUAGAGUGUUUAAAGCAGGCUUUAGCUUGAAUACAUUAGCAUGGAAUAAUGAAAUAGGGCGUUCGAACCUAUUUUGUUGGUUUCUAGGAUCAACGUAAUGAUUAAUAGGGAUAGUUGGGGGCAUUAGUAUUCAAUUGUCAGAGGUGAAAUUCUUGGAUUUAUUGAAGACUAACUACUGCGAAAGCAUUUGCCAAGGAUGUUUUCAUUAAUCAAGAACGAAAGUUAGGGGAUCGAAGACGAUCAGAUACCGUCGUAGUCUUAACCAUAAACUAUGCCGACUAGGGAUCGGAUGAUGUUAAUUUUUUAAUGACUCAUUCGGCGCCUUAC
This 520-nucleotide ribosomal RNA is filed under the name uncultured Glomus. Its description in RNAcentral is "SSU rRNA". It matches the Rfam family "Eukaryotic small subunit ribosomal RNA", at positions 569 to 1091 of the family's 1831-position model. The record is from RNAcentral. Lineage: Eukaryota; Fungi; Glomeromycota; Glomeromycetes; Glomerales; Glomeraceae.